Long non-coding RNA from Danio rerio (zebrafish), 1569 nucleotides. Lineage: Eukaryota; Metazoa; Chordata; Actinopteri; Cypriniformes; Danionidae. The record is from Ensembl.
GUGAGAAACCCUCUGUCCCCUGCUAGAACUCUACAGGAGCUGGACAGAGUCCACAGACAGUGUGAGGAAAUGAAGCAGGUCACUGAGCAGUAUCUGCAGGCAUUGAGACACAACCGAGACUCCUCUAGAGGUCAGCUCACUUCAAACAAUGGUGACUUUUUUAUUAUUAUUAAGCAGAUACUUGAAUAGCAGUAAGUAGCGGCUUAGGGGUUAGAACUGUGGCCUCACAGCAAGAAGGUCUGGAAGGUUUGAGUCUCAGCUGGGUCAGUUGGUGUUUCUGUGUGGAGUUUGCAUUUUCUCCCUGUGUUGGCAUUGGGUCUGGUUUCCCCCACAGCUCAAACACAUGUGCUAUAGGGGAAUUGAUGAACUAAAUUAACCGUAGUUUAUGAGUAUGUGUGUGAAUGUGUGUGUAUGGGUGUUUCCCAGUACUGAAUUGCAGCUGCAAGGGCGUCUGCUGUGUAAAACAUGUGCUGGAUACGUUAGGAGUACAUUUAUAGUCCUGGUAAUCAGUCUUCGUGAGUUUCAGUGUGUUUGCAAUCAGUGGUGAUCAAGAACUGGUGUAUGUGAGGUGCAUGAUGGGAAAUGUAGUCCAAAUGAUUACAUUUUGUGUUCAUUUACACAUACUCAGAUCUCAUUUUCAGGCAAGUGAUUGUGAUUAGUGAGGUGAUGUGCUCAAACCAGUGCCUUUAGGACGGACUCAAUAACAAUAAACCACAUUCAAAACUGUUGAUCACCAGUGUGAUUAAUAUUGAGACGUUUUGGCUUUUCUUAAUACGUAAUUAAACAGUAAACGAGUAAACGACUACAGUUUUCCAUUGACUGUUUUUUUGUUGGUCAUCAGAUGUUUGUGUGUCUCAUUAUGAAGACCUUAGGAGGAUGUUUGGAAGUAGGAACUGCCCACAAACUUGGUCGUGGGACCAGCAAAGAAGAUUCAACAUCACUUUAAGGCUUCUAGAGGAGCACCAGGACUACUUAACAGGUCUGGACUCCAGUGGCAAACCUUUGCAAAAUCUAAGCCAGAUGAUUUUUCAUGAUGCAGUAAAGACAAUCUCUAAAGCAGGGCAGUCUGAUGUUGGCCUCAAGUCCACUGCGAUUGUGCAUCUCCAGGUGUCCUCUUGCUGGGGUCACCAGCCCUCCUCUCUCCUGCUGGCCACCCUGCACCUGUCUGGCCUGGGUGUCCCUGUGGAGCUGGAGCAGGGUCAUGUGUAUAGUUUGAUAGGCGGCGUAUCUGAUGACCGACUCGCUCUCAUGCAUUUGGGAUACAAGCACAUGCAAGGUCUGGAUGGGUUCCCCAAAGACCAGAACACAGCAAACGGAUACUACGCCAACAUCGGCAGACAGACCAGCAUCGACCGCGAUAAAGUACAGGACUCUGCGCAAACUCUCGCUGAACAUGUGCAUUUGAGCAAUCACUUUGAGCUCCACAGUCAGACGGGGGAUUCGGGAGACAUUGUGCAGUAUCUGAAAUACCAGGCCGAGAGAGGAGAUCUGGAGUCUCAGGUCUUCUUGAUUUUAUCAUCAUCUCUGUUCGUCUGUAAAUCUAAACGUAAAGCUAAAACCAGAGCUUAA